This 508-nucleotide ribosomal RNA is filed under the name uncultured bacterium. RNAcentral's name for it is "partial 16S ribosomal RNA". It matches the Rfam family "Bacterial small subunit ribosomal RNA", at positions 28 to 523 of the family's 1533-position model. The record is from RNAcentral.
GAUGAACGCUAGCUACAGGCUUAACACAUGCAAGUCGAGGGGAAACGACAUCGAAAGCUUGCUUUUGAUGGGCGUCGACCGGCGCACGGGUGAGUAACGCGUAUCCAACCUGCCCACCACUUGGGGAUAACUUUGCGAAAGUAAGACUAAUACCCAAUGACGUCUCUAGAAGACAUCUGAAAGAGAUUAAAGAUUUAUCGGUGAUGGAUGGGGAUGCGUCUGAUUAGCUUGUUGGCGGGGUAACGGCCCACCAAGGCGACGAUCAGUAGGGGUUCUAAGAGGAAGGUCCCCCACAUUGGAACUGAGACACGGUCCAAACUCCUACGGGAGGCAGCAGUGAGGAAUAUUGGUCAAUGGACGAGAGUCUGAACCAGCCAAGUAGCGUGCAGGAUGACGGCCCUAUGGGUUGUAAACUGCUUUUAUAAGGGAAUAAAGUGAGAGUCGUGACUCUUUUUGCAUGUACCUUAUGAAUAAGGACCGGCUAAUUCCGUGCCAGCCGCCGCAGUAA